GGGACAGCCGCGGGCUCGGGACGUCCCACCCCCCGUCCGUGAUUGGCCGUUAGCAGCCGGCUUCUGAUACGUCACAAUGGACGGCACCGCCCACCCCCACUGUUGAAGUGAAGGGGGGAGGGCGACGGGCCGGACCGUACCACCUGUCGCCCGUGGCGGGGGGGCAGCGCGGUGGGCUCGCCUCCCUGGCGCGGCGGGGACGGGGGGCGGCGGCGCGUGGAGCAGCCCGAGCGGCGGGCGGGGGCGGCUCGCUCCGGCCGCCGGGUAAACAGCCCUGCCUCCCGCCUGCCGCCCGCCCCGGCUCAGGCCCCUCCUCCCGCACGCGCUGCCCCGUGCCUAUUGUGAAGGCUUCGGGUCGCUCCGCACCCCCGCUGCCUCCCUCGCGGCGGCGGCGGGCCGGGGGCCCUCCCUCACGCCCGCCUCUCCUCAGCGGUGGUGCGCGCGCGCGGAAUGGCCGCGGCCGUUUGAAGCGGCGGCGCCCGGCGGUGGCGGCGGGGGCGUCGCGCGGGAGCAGCCGGUAAGCGUCGCGCAGGGCGGUGGGGGCGCGCCCGCCGCCAGGUGCUGCUCCGCCGCCCGGUGCGAGCGGUGACGUCAGCGCGGGCAGGUGCGGGGAGCGGGGGUCCGGGCGGCCUCAGGCCCGGGGCUUCCAGCGCCGCGCCCCUCGGCCCCCGCGGGCGGAGGGAGGGGGCGGCCGGGGCUCCGUUGGCUCGGGGCUCGCGCGGAGAGCUGCCCGCGGCCGCGCUGCGGGGUUCGGGGCUGGAGCGGCCCCGGGGUGACAUCCAGCUGCGGCGCGGUCGGCGGCGCUCCGGGCUGCUUCGCUGCCCGCUCUCAAACAAGUGCCGUGCGUGCGCGAUGGAACUUGGCUGCUUUUAGCAAUUGAGAUGGAAGGGAUGUAAGGGGCGAAUGGAAAAGGCGGCUGGCGUUCCGCUGCCGUGCCUCGCUCCGGCGUUCGCCGUGCGUUACGAGCGCAGCCGUGCCUCCUCUUUGUAUGCUGGGGUCGGGGCUGCAGGUGAAGCCCCACGUUUCCAAGCCCGAGCCCGUUCCUUUGUUUGCGGCCGUGAGGACUGAAGCGGGCUGCCGGGAACUCGUGCGGCCGCGAGCUGCUGUCCGCUCGCACCUAUCGGUGGGGCUGAUGGGUGUGCACGGGAAGCGGCGCGGCGCGCUGUGCCCAUCGCUCAGCGCUAUCAGAAGUGGAUCCUCAUCCGCCGCCGGUUUGUUGGUGCCAUCAUUAACCGAUUCCAUAUGAGCGCAUUCCUUUUGCCUUGGCGUGCAGAUGCCGGGUACUGCCUGAAGUUGGAACGCGCGCCUCCGAGUGCUUCGGGGUCGAUCUGCGAUGCUCUAUCCGUACAACUGCGUUGAAAAUGCCUAAUUUUGCUCUGUUAGCCUUGAUUCUGAACGCACGGCUGAAUGGGCUGUGGUAGUUCGCUUAAGCACGUUGAGCCGUGUUGCGUCCCAACAUCCCCGAUCGCUCGCCAGUAAUAUUUAAUCAUCUCAGAUUCUGGAUGUUUUCAUUCUAGAGCCUAUGAAAAUCGCUGGCUGGUUUAAAUUAGUUGCCUUUCUGGUACUGUCAGGGCAGUGAGCACAUGAGGAUACAGGCAGCACUUUGCUGAAUGAAGUUUCUAUUUGCUUAAACUGUAGACAAGGUUAAUUUUCAGCUCGCAGUCAGAUACAUCUGAUUUUGAAUGUGAAAUGCUGACUUGAUUAUGCUUUAAUUACAGAAAAAAGAAGUGUGGAAGGGUAAGAUACAUGGCUCAUCUAAUAUCUAGCUUUGUUGAAAAAGCUGAGGAGUUGCCACUUGUUAUUUCUGUCCAGAUACUGUGUUAACCCCUUGUGAUUCCCGACUAGGUGUUUUUGGAUUCAAGAAGGGGUCGAUCAGUAUGGAAGCAAGAGUGAUAUGGCUUAUAAGAGCAAGUCUCCCUGAUUAUUGUACACUGCAAGUGUGUUCUGUUUUAAUCACCUGCUCAAAACGGGGCUGGAAGAGGAUGCUGCUGGUUCUGAAUGAAGGCAGCCUGCAGUGGUGGGUGGAAGAUGUGCGAUACCUGGCUUCUCUUCCAUUCCCCUCUUUCCACCUCCUUGUGGUUGCUUUUGCCUCUCUUACUCUGAUUUCUCCAAAGAGAGGUGUAAAUGCUCCACUUUCUGCAGCGUUGUUGCUUUUGGAACGAGUCGUUUGACACCUGGUGCUGGCUGCUUGUGGUGGUGAAUGCUACACCAAGUGCUAUCAAGCCUUCCCUGUUUCCCAGGUGAAAGAGAGAAGUAUUUUAAAAUAGUUCCUUCAGCAGUAGAAAUAGGGCUUCUUUCUCUCUUUUAAAUUGCAUGGAUGUUUGUAACCUCUAAUGCUUUAUUGUUGUUUUUUUUCCCCUUGUUUAAAACACUUAUAGUCCUGUGCUUCUGGGGGGUCAUGCAAUGUCUGAUGAGGUCUUAACGCAUACUGCAGCCUUCCCCUCAGUCAGGACACUGGUAGCAUCUUGAUUUCACAAACUUAAUGUUUUCUUAAGCAGUUGUCUUUGAAACCUCCUACCUUUCUGUCAGAGCUGUUAGAAUUCAGCCAGCCAUUUUCCAAGCUAUUGAAACACAUGGGGGACCCCCAGCCUUCCCCAACGCUUCCUGCAUCAGACUAAUUUCCUUCCAAAGCUGGGCUAAGGUGUACUAAAUCUUACCUCAGUAUUUCACAGUUGUCCUUCACACUGGUUCUUUAUUCCUUACAAUAGAUAACAAAAUCUGUUUCUUUAUGUUUUAAUGCUUUGUCCUACUUUCUUUUCCCUUUCCAAGCAUUUUCCUUGCUCUUUUUUUCCACGACGGGUGUGCUUUAUUUCAUACCCUGUGUUUUCUGCUGGCUUUUUUUCCCCCCACAGAAGAUGCUGCAUAUAAUCCUGCUUGUUCUAGUUUUUCUGUAAUUUUUUUUAGCACUCUUAAACUGCUGUCAGCCCACUUGCACAUACAGUCACUUCUCAUCCACCGAGAUUCGUAAGUCUACAGUUUAGAGGAAAAAAGAACCAGCAACAUUCCAGAUACUUAUCAGACAGAGGACUGGACUAGAAUAUGAGGCUCCAUUGUCUAAGGGAAAAACAAUUUGAAAGAAAACAAUUUUUUUUCUUCCCUUCCCAUGCUCUUUGGCUGCUGAAAAGAGGUAUCAUGAAGUCUUAUCAGGUUCAUGUUGCUGCCUUCUGAUUUGAGCGUUCUCUAACCUGCUGCUAUGUCUGAGGCAUCUUAAUGAACUCUAUUUAAUUUUACUGCUGGGCGGGUAGAGCAUCUUUUAUUACUCAUGCUUUGCUUUUUCUGUCACCUUGGAGUCUCUGACUGCUGCAAGGGUGGUAAUACCUCUUUUCCACUUUUGGUUUUCUGGACUAUGUCCCGGAUUCUCAGAGAUACCAGGGCGCCAGAUUGCAAUAGGAGUUCUGUGUUCCAGUACAUCUGUGAAUCAGUCUCUGAAGUUCUUGGGGGAAGAAUCUUGAGGUCAUCUGACGCAGAUUACAGGUUAUACAGUUCAUAUUUAUGAGACUUGGUUUCAAAGAAAAAAGAUGCAGGAUAGGACCGGAGAACAGAAUGGCUUAGACUGUCGUGCUUAUUUCAGAUGUCUUUGCAAACAAAUUGUGUUUUGUGGAGCCUUUUCUGUGGAGGUUGGAAGCCUGCUGUGUAACCUCUUCAAGCUGCUCAAGUGCUUCCACUGCGCCGUGACCCACAUCUUGUAACACCAGCUGAACAAUGAACAUCUUGGAGAGGCAGCGAGAUAUUAAUUACAGACUUCCAGGAAAAUAAACUAAUUAGCAUCAUUAGAAACUCAUAUCUUCAAUAUUAUUCAAUAUCCUUAAUCCUAUGAAAUGAUUUUAAGUCAGUUAAAAUGCGGAAUGUCAUCCAAAGUACGCACAUUUCUAAAAAUACAUUUAUUGAUGUAGGUGCUUGGGGGUGGAAGCUGAAUUAAAUGUUAGCUUGCUUAGGAUAUUGUCUCUUCCUGGUAAUUUUUAAUACCAGAUAACUGGUAUGGAAUAGCUGUAAAAGUUAUAUUUUUAACUAAACACUUAAUAGCAGAAAUAAUGGUUUUCAAUGAGUUAAUAUCUGACCAUUGAUUGACUUUAAUUAAGAGCAAUGGCUGUGACAUGAAUUUCAGUCUUCAGACAGCAGACUCCACACAGGAGUAGAUCAUUACGAAUGCCAGAACUAUCUGACAUUUAAAGCUUAUUGAGAAACAGGAAUCUGUUCUAAACCCAGGUGGUUUUUCAACAUCUAAUAAAAGGCAUUAAAUGCUGUUGAUGCGUUUCUUACAGUUGUGAUAUUUUUAGUCUUUUUUUUUUCCUGCUGUGUGGUAAGCUGCAUUCAUUUACUGGGAGUAUUAAUAAAAUCUGUUUUCUCUCUGGCUCUUGUUUUCCUAAAUGUGGAGGCCCUCAAUAUACUUGAGGGUCUUCUAAUUUGGUAGAAAUUGGUCAAUACAAUAUAAAGUUACUGGAGGGCAGCUUCCAAGAAGUAUUCUAUAAGUGAUCUCUUAAAAUUUGAAAAUUCUUGGGAGCUCUUAAAGAAAGGACAUUGCCCACAUGAUUUUCAUCACUUACAGCUGCAAGGUCCUGUAGUUAGAAGUACAUGAUGGCAGCAGGCUGGUGGGACGCUUGGCGGUACUAACUGGUACUGGGGACAGAGACAGUUGUGCCUCGCCUAUCUGGUAGGGGUUUGGUUUGCACUAAUGGCAUAGCAGCUGCUGUUUUAGUUGCAUUUUAAUGUCAUCCUUUCUUGUGUGUUAUGACUUUUGGAGGUGUAUGUGAAGGUUCUUCAUACCUGGCUAUUAAAUAAGGAAGCCGUUAGGCAAUGGGUAAAGUAUUGUCAUGGGUCACAGCCUCUUAGAGGAAAUAACAGAAAUAAAUAUUAAGUUCUCAUAGGCAGAAGGUUUUUGCCUUAAAUUGGGAGCUGUUUAAUAUUAAUGAUCUCUGGAAGUUGAUUUAUAAAGCAACAUACUCAAAGUUGUUUAAUCACAUUCAGAUAUACUGGAAAGGUCACUGGAGAAGUCUCAGUGAGCUGUGUGGAAGGGCAGCAGGAUGACAGGUAAAACUGAGCAUUGGUGCACGCAGGACUGUUUUUUGGAUAUAGAAACCAUUUAUAUCUCUUAAAAGAUACUAAAUUAACGGUAUUAAUAUACAAGAAUAUUUCAUCAUCGCUGCAGGUUGCUGAGGUAUCCAUACCCAAUUUAUAGCCGUAAUCACAAGUGGAGAAAAAGCAUCAAGAAGGAAGUGUCAUUCUAUACAAAUUCCGUAAUUCAUUCUUGCUAUUCAAAGCAUGUAAUUAACCAUCAAUUGGUUUUGAGGAAAAAAAAAUAAAACCAUAGGAUUGUAGAGAGUUUGAUACAAAAGAUAGGGCAGAAUUUUUAGGGCGACUGAAAAAAUUGGAAGUAUUUACUGCAGGAAACAAAUUGGGGUUAGAAAGUUAUAAAGUAGACAUGAAUUUGUGCUGUUCAGCAGCUGAUGUGAAAGGGGAAAAAAGCUGCAUUCAGAAAAUGACAAUUUAUUGAAUUUGUACCCUUUUAAAAGAAGGGAAUGGAGAAUUUUUCCCUGCUUCCACUCAACAUACCUGUAUUUGUCUUAGAGUAUGUAUCUAUCAUCCACUGUUAGACUGUUUCUCUUGAAUACACAUGGCCAGCUUAACAGCCUUGCUUUAUUUGCUUUAAACCAAUGAUUUGAACUUUACUCUUUCCCAUCAGAGAUGACUGCUCAAAUAAAUUAAUAUUCAUUGGAGUGAGCUAUUCUCAGUCUUCUGCAUCUGAAGUGAAUUUUGUAAUUUCUGGGCAUUGGAGUCAUUGCCUGACAGUUUGGCGUAAUGAAUUGUUUCAUACAAAAUGAAACGGAACAAAUCAGUGGGAUAAUGAGAGAAACUCUUAAAACAAUAUGUUGGCUAUGGCUCUGACUUGUAGCCUGGGGUUCACUGAUUCGAAAGCAACCAUGGAUGAAAACUGAUGUUUGAAGAGAAAACCUCCUAGGGUCAAUCUAGCAAGCUCAAAGAACAUUGGGGGUAUAAAGUAGAGGAGUAUGGGGGUCCUUUUUGUGAGGGUAUUCUUUCAAGUUAUUUAGUAUCGGAACAUCUGAAAUAGAUGGACAUGUUAUUGAAAACUGAAAGUUUGGUUGAUGCUGAGGUACUUUUCUGAUGGUAGCUUGUCUUAAAUAAUGUUACAGCACUUUGUGCAGCAGUGCCUAUUUGCCAUAGAAUCAUAGAAGAGCUUGGGUUGGAAGGGACCUCAAGGAUCAUCAAGCUCCAACCGCCCCACCACAGGCAGGGCCACCAACCUCCACAUUGAAUACUAGACCGGGCUGCCCAGGGCCCCAUCCAACCUGGCCUUGAACACCUCAGGGACGGGGCAUCCACAGCCUCUCUGGGCAGCCUGUUCCAGCACCUCACCACUCAUAGUAAAGAACUUCUCCCUGACAUCCAACCUAAAUCUUCCCUCCUUCAACUUAAAACCAUUUCUCCUUGUCCUGCUAUUAUCUACCCUUACAAAGAGUUGACUCCCCUCCUGCUUAUAGGCUCCCUUUAGGUACUGAAAGGCUGCAGUGAGAUCAACCAUCUCCAAAGUAAUGACCACGAAGUAGCGAAAAUCACAGUUGUCAACUAUAUUUCUGCAGUGUGAUGCUGUUCAUGUUUUGAGUAUCCAUGAACUUGUACCUUCAGCCACGUUCAGGAUGAUGAUGCGGGUUCUGCGGCUCCAUGAUACAGGUCAUGGGUCCAGCCAGCUGUACCAGGCAGGCAGUGUUACUGCUGAAGAGCCAUUGCUGGUAGCAGAGAGCAGUUUUCCACAGAUGGCUGUCAUUAUCGUGCAAUAACACAGCACCCUCUGCAGUGAUUCUGGCACAGCACUUCAAGAAAUUCUAAGAACUCUUUAGGAAAGUGACAAGUACUUUAUAAUUUGAUAAUAGAUGUGAACUUAAGUAGUUCAGCCAGCUUUUGUAAAAAUGGCUUGCGGACUCAGCUGUACAGUGAAAAAAGGAAAUGCUUAACUUGUUAAAUCUUGUUCAGCCACUGGCCAUUGAAUGCGUGUGCAGAAGUGCUUAGAGAGGUCUUUUAUGCUCAGCUGGUUUGACCUUCUGUUGAUAUUAAAGAAGAAGGCUGUGAUUAACAAAAAAUUAACAAAAUUGUGAACUGAGUUUGCUGUUUCCUUGGAAUCCUCAUCAGGGCCAAGGGCUGUGGUUCUAGCUAGCUUUAGUCAUCUAUUUAAAAAUAAAAUCUGAGUUUUAAAGGGGUUCUCUAUUUCUGUGGGAAUUAACUUCAGGAAAUGAUCUUUCAACAAGUUUCACAAUGGGGGAAAGGUUCUGUGUCAUACUGUCCCAAUAUUGCCUACUUUCUACUAGCUACGAUGUUUCCUGUUAGACAUUGGAGAUUAUCUGUGGCUAUCCUAUCUUAACUUUUUAGUAGUUAGAAAUUGAAUGAAUUAAAAAAAGAAAUGAAACCUUUUUUUUUUUUUUUAGGAAAAAAAAAAGAAGGUUUUUUUAGCAAAAAGAUUAGUUUGUACUAUUUGUAAUAUUUUUUUUCUUGUUGGAGGACAACUGGAGCUCUGUUCUCUACCUGAGGCAACUUUGCAGAUAAAAGCAUAUUUUAAUUCCAGGAUGAUGGAUGUACGUGUCUUUAAGCUCUGGACUAGUUUGUGUUCCUUUUGCACAAUUAUCUACACAGUCUGCUUGGAAGAUAAGAGAGGGGCUUCACAACCCUUUAAAGGUACUGGCAGCAUUCAUGAAAAAACAUGGAAGUGGUGGUAGGUUGAAGGAGAAGAGAAGGCCUUAUGACUCCUCAGUCCUUGGCUGAUGCCUUUUAUACUCAGCUCACUUCUGCACUUGAGGUCAACGUCUAGCAUAAUUGAUUCCUGAAGCGCUAAUAUUUUCGUAGAUUAUUUUGUGUUGAACGCCAGGGGUCUUUGUAAGUUCACUAUCUCACUCACUGAUUGGUUACCAAAGUACUACUCUAUUGAAACUUAUGGACCAUCCUUUUGAGUGUCUUUACGUAACGUGGCACGGCAUGUUAGACUUUGGAGCAGCUUUUUUGCAUUGAUCAAUGUGGUUCAAUGCUUGGGCACCUUAAUUUUCUUCUGCAGGCCUAUCAUUUUUCUUAAUAUUGAGCUUGAUAGCAGUUGAACUCUCUCUUUGACUAAUUUUUAGAGUAUUCUGAUAGAAGAUAGACAACUUAAUAAUUAGCGUUGUCCUAAAGUGAUACUUAAUAAGAGGUUUAAUGUAGAAUAAUCUCUUGAUAGAGAAAAUCCAUUUUACUUUGCAUACUUUCAGAUUCUUUGCCUGUCAUAUGAGAUAGUCCCUUCAUCUUAUCUUUUACUGUUCACUGGGGUACAGUGAAGUCUAAAGACAUUUGUGUACAGAAGCGAUCUAAACAGGUCAUCUUCUGUAUCUGAAGCUUUGUGGAAAUGUAAGCUGUGGGAGGGAGGAAGUGUUUAAGUUUGUGAGUCCCAAACCAAGUGAUUGUUUUAGGCGUUCUAGUCUGUCCUUGAUUGUAGUGAGCUGCUUUAUUCAUAGGCAGUAAUCUUUCCAUUGAAACCCUGUGCAUCAUUAGAGAAGGAGCAUUUUAUAAAUCUAUUAACUUUUAUUGAACGAAUAGAUAAGUAUAUGCCUUUAAGGUGGAAGUGGCUAGAAAAGAAAACUGUAAAAAUUCUACGCUGCAGUGAGAAUGUAUUGGAUAUUAACUUACUGUUCCGAGUGUUGACCAAUUUUUAUUCCAAAGCACGCUAGCUCCAUAAAACUAAGGGCUCUGCUUGAUGGUAACUUUCCUGUAGGCUGAGAAAGACAUAGAAGGACAGAUUCUUCUCUGCCCCUUUUUUAUCCUUCCUUUUUCAGGAAUUCAUAGGCUCACAUUUUAAUCCUUCCAAAGUGUGUACUCCAGGAGUUUUUAAUUUUGGUUUCCCUCCUUCUGCAAGUCUGUCUGACUUGGAACAAUAAGCUUUUCCUAUGUGGUUUUUUCUUUCUUGCAACUUUUAUAUACGCUGUUUUUGAAGGUUAGGCUUUUGUACUAAUUUUCAAGACAUUAAUGUCAGUUUAGAUCCCAAGGCACAUCUGUUAGCAAUACUGUUAGAAUCCUCAGCUAGCUCUAAGCUUCAGUUGCAGAAUAAUUGAUAGAUGGCUUUGAUUUCAUGUUGCAACGCGAGGAACCCUUUGGACAUUUCUGUUGAAAGGACUGGAGAAGCCCGAAUCACCUUGGGAAUAGUCCUUGGGAAUAGCACUUCAGUUCAGAAGUGACGCUUCAGGAAAAUAUAUUGUGUCAGAACCUUUUAUCUGUAAGGCUAUAGUAAUGUUGAAAUGCCUGGAGUUCUGUAGAAGGAAAAUGCAUGUCCAGCACUCAUUGCGGGAUGCAGGGAACACGUUUGAAUGUAGUGAUGAUAAUCGUGCUGCUCAGAGGUGUGGGUGGAUUACUUGCUUGUUUAUUUGAACUUAAUGGAAGCUCAAAACUGGCACAUGGUGUGGUCCCUCUGUAGUGAAUGUGUUAAUUUUUUGGUAGAAUUAUUAUCUUUUGAGAUGAAACAGAUCUGCGUGUCACUCACCAAGUCUUAAAACUAGUCAGUCAUAACUUAAUUUCCAGAUUUAAUUGAUCAAAACAAUGGCAAUUACUGAUGUAAUUAUGUUCUUUCUGUUACAAAUGCUGUGAGGUUUCUUCACUGUAUAGAUGUAAUUACGAUCUUAGUGUUUCAGUUCACUUGUUGCCCAAAGUUAGUGCAAGUUUGUUAGUGGAAAAAAAAAACUUCUUGCCUAUUUAGAAAGUGGAACUGUUGCUGAUGCUGUUUUCUAUUGGUGCAGCUGCAGGGAUUUUUAACAAAAUAUAUUCUGUAAUUAAUAGUUACCCUAGAGAAAGAAAUUUGUCUAUUAAAUACAGCUAGCUACUGUGUGAAUUGCAUGGAUAAGUGAAUGUUUGACUCUGUCCAAGGCCAGCGUGAGCUGAAACUUAAUAUGAGGGCUGCUCCAAAAGUAAUGCCUCCUAUUUUAUCGCAUUGGUCCAUGAUGUCAGGGGUGGAUGUUGGUGGUAUGGCAGUAGAUGUUGAGCCUGCUCACCAGUAUUCAUGGAGGAAGAAAAACUUCAGGGACCUUGUUCUCCAAGAACCAAAGAGUAAGAUUGCUAUCAUCAGGGAACUGUGCUUGACUGUAAAUGUUGGUGGACCUGACUGUUCAGAAAAAGUGCUCACUGCCUGCUGCUUUGAAUUCUGGCUGAAAAUUGUCAGGUAAAUCAUUGGUCCUUGGUAUUCUGUCCUGUUUACUAUCUCCUUUUUUUUUUUCCUAACAAAUAAAAUGCAAAGAACGAUGUCCGACAUCCUGACAAUAUAUAUUCCUUUGAGGAUGCUGCCUCUGUGCUGAGUUUGGAACAUUUAUAUUUUUAUUUAUUAUUUAUAUUUCUAAUAACAAAGAGGUUUAGACAGUUAAUAAAUGAAAUACAGAAGGGCUCUCUGGAUGAUAUACUGUGUGUCCCAGCUACUGAGUCACAGGGUAAUGCUUGCUAUUGUGAAUCUUGAAUUGUUUUGUGGGUAGUAGAAUAACUGUAAAGGGAAGGUGAAUAGCAUUCUGAUUUGUUUGCUUGUAGCAUCUUUAAAAUCUAGUCUCCCUGCUGGAGGUAGGAGGUACGAUGCUGGGCUCCCAGGAAACCAAGGAAGAAAUGUGAGCUUUGAAGGAGGCAGAUCAAAUACCAAAGGUGGGCAACCCUAUCUCCUGGUCAUAUUUUAUAAUGAAAAAUAAGGACAUAUGAUUCGUUUUUUUUUUAAAUGAGUGUAAACAGUUGUGUUCAUCUUUAGUGGAUAAACAAGCCUGCUUGUAGUUUGAAUCCAACAGAUGAAAUCUAGAAAAGGUUUGAAUGUAAGAACUACCUCUCUUCAUUUUCAUCUGUAGAUUUCUAGGUUACACUGUCUCUGUAUUACAGCAUGUAGGGAGUCUGGAAGGCUAAGCAUAAGAUGGGGCUGAGGCUACUGAGUGUGGCUUAUUUCCUGCUGUCUGCAUACAUAUAACCCUGUUUUUUUAAUUAGAUCUAUGGUUUAAAUGAGAUCUAACUUUAAUGCAGAGUUGCUUGAUUUUGUGUGUGUGUGUGAAUGUGUGUGAGAGUAAAGCUGUGUAUGCAGUACUGAAGAAUAUCUGCUAAAGGAAGGAUAACACAGUUAUAUCUGUGUAAAUGGAGCAAUAGCGUUUCUUAGUGCAUUUCCUGGCAAAGCAAGGUAUUUUUGCUACCUGAAGAUAGACACCAUUAUUUUUUCCUUUUCACAGCAUUUCAGUGUUGAGCGAAGCAAAGUCUUAACUGCAUUUUGGGUAAUUAAAGUUUGUUUUAUUAAUACUGAAUUUAUAUAGUAUUUAUAUAGUAUUAAUAAUCUUGAAUGCUGUUUGGGGACAGACAAUAAAAAUAGAGCUAAGCAGUAACUGCAGUAUCAUAGUUCUGCAGGGAAAUCAGAGCUGUAAGAAUGCAGAAUUGUAUUUGACAGGUGAUUACAGAUAUAUCUUUUCUCACCCAAAAUCAGAAAGAUGAUGUUCUUUCCUGGGUAUAUGAAGCUUCAAGUUGCACCUUCCAAUCCUUCCAGUUGCAGCGGAGGAUGAAUUUAUGAAAGCGAUCUGUUUCUGUAGCAAUAGAAAAGCUCUGAGCAGAGAAUUCAACACUUAUUAGUGCUGUUCCAUCUUUUCCAGUGCCUGCUACCUGUAAUCUUUUCUCCCUCAGUCUUGUGUUGUGCUGUAAAGCUUCACUGCUGUAAGGCAGCUGCUAAGAACAUAAAGUGAACCUCUUCAUAAGCAGUGGUUUUCAGUCCCUUUUCCUUAGAGCUCCUGAGCACUCAGUGUACUGCAGUUGGAGUAGCACCGACUUGGUUUGUGCAGCCCUGCUCUGCUGUACCUCUGUGCUCACCUGCAGGGCACAGGUGAGGAUAAGCAACGCAGGGAAGCACUGGACUCACAGUCUGCCUGUGCUGAGAAGGAAAAGGACCUGAAGUUGUAGCUUUUCUGAAGGGCAGUGACACUCUUCCCCUGGAGGAUGUCACCCAAUGCUUUCCUUCUCACCUUUGCUAUCUGCUGGCCCAGGGUGGCCCCAAGCACUAUUUUGUGAAGAGGGCCUUAUCUGCAAGGGAUCACCCCAAUAACAUCAGUCUGGCAUUAAAGGCCCUUCAGAUUGAUGGCUACUCCUUGAGAGAUCUCUGCAGAUGUUGCGUGACUGCUGCAUUUUUAAGAGUAGGAAAACCUGCAGUUGCUUUAAUGUUCUGUUGUGACACGUAUAUAAUGGAUAUUCUGUAGAAUUCAUACGUCUCUCUGUGUCAGAACAUUUUGAACUUCAGGUACAACAGACUAAUUGGAGCGAACGUUUCAGUCCAUCCUCUGCCGACCUCUGCAAUACACAUUACAGCUUGGGAUGGGAGUUGCAUUCAUUUGCUGGUUAAACAACUUCUAAAGCUGGGUUCUGAUCUCAGGAGUGCUGUUUUCUUAAUGGGAUUUUUUGAAGAUGGCCAUAAAAGACAAUAGCUACCGCUGGAGGUAAUAAGAAAUAGUGUGCCAUGUGAACAGGCUGCUUUAACUCACUCCUGAAUGCAAUUUUUCUUGAUUCUUCUAAAAAUAACUCUCCUUCCAACGUGAAAAUUGACAAAACUUUACAGCAUGUGUUAGCAGAGUGAUGAAAUGUUGAUUUCUGCUUUUCUGAGUGAGCAGUUAGAUUAAAAAAUAAAACAGAGAGAGGUAAGCAACGCAGUAAUACAAAUUCUUAGGAGUUGUUGCUGCUAUCUUCGAUUGUCCUUAUUUUGUCUUUUGAUUAUUUUUUUUCCUCAUUUCACCUUUCUCCUCUUCAUUUUUUUCUGCUGAAUUGCUGUAUUUUUAUUUAUUUUUAUUUAUUUAUUGCUGAGAAAGUAUGUGGUUUGAGCAAGGCACAGUAGCCCAAGUUGGAAAGUAAGUUGCUGUUGACAGUUCUUGCCAUUUCCCCGCUUACUACGUGAACUUGUACAUAAAAUGCUUUGGUCUCUUCUUGUGGUAGAGCUAAGCAUUUUGUGUGCUGUGAAGCAGAGUUUCAGUGUGCUGAUACCAUGCAUGUGCCAGUGUAUUCCAAUUAGAGACUCCUGAAGCAGGUGGCAAGCUCUACUUCUUUACACUGCAGGGCAUUUUGGUGUAAGUAUGUGCAGAACGACUGAAUCAUUGUAACAGACCAUAAUGCAAGCUGUAAAUUAAAGAUUUUUGCUUGGAUGUUUUUUUUUUUCCUAAUUGCUAGAAACUAUAGUAUGUAACUUUAUUUCUGUUAUUAUUUUAGCUCACAAUAUUAAACAUGAGGCUUUUCACUUUUUCAAAUAGUUUAAAGGUAGGAAUGCUGAUAAAUAUGUUGUCCUUUGCUUAUUUUUACAAAGCAUCAGUUCAUCCUAAUGUAAGUAAGCAGAAAACUGCAUUUAAUAGCAGCAGAAUUUUACACAGAAAGCUAAAAUUUGUAGCAAGAUCAAGAGGAUGGCAAAGGAAUCAUGUUUUGACUGCUACAUUCCAGAACGUGCAGAUGAUAAAUGUUUAAGUUUGAAAUAAUGAUUAUAAUUCCGAGAUCGAUGGAUGUGAAGGGAAGGUAACAUUUGUGUAUGUGUAGGACUUGAGGAAAUCCCUUUCUAAACAAAAAUACAGUCAGUUUUAAAAUUUGCUUGUGCUUUCACUGUAAGUCUAUGUGGAAUUACCACUGCAUGUAGUGGGAACAUCAUAAAGCUGUAAUCCAGGGCAUGGAGUGUGGACUUUUUUUUUUUACCAGCCUAUUAAAACCAGACUUGUGUGCAAAUUUAGAGAAUCUUGUUAAUUUAGAAAGGGAUGGAUUAUAUUUGGAUGCAACUUGAAAUCUUGUAGCUUUAAAAAACAAAAGAAAAGCCACAGUUUUCUCUUAAAUUAUCCUUUUUAGUCCCUCACCCUGUUGAUUUUGGUAGUAAUAUUCUCAAGGUUUUUCUGUAAUUAUGUGUGUUCAUACAGUGCUUUUAUUGUAUAGAGUGUUACAUACUGGGAAGAGAUUAUGUUAAUAGGACAGCGGAAAGGGAUUAAAGGCCAGAAGGUGUAUUAGGAGGGGCGAACUGAAUUGGGGAACUAGAAAAUGGAGAAAAGAUCAUUCUGAUGUGUGUAGAAAAGGCAAGGGAGUUUUAGAUGAAAACUCUUACGUUGUGCAGUAUACAUUUGAGAAUAAACAGAGAGAAACAGUAAGGGAAAGGGAAAGGAAAAUGCCUUAUGGGAAACAAUAUCCUAUAUACAAAUAAAAUUGGUUAGGAGGAAAAAGUAACUGAAAACAGAAAAUUGGAGGAGUAUGUAAGCAGAGAAAGAAGGGGGAAAAAAAUACAAUGCAUGCAGAGGAUCAAAGUGCGUACCCUUCCUAAGCCACAGGGCCACUUAAGAAAGGAAAAACACAUGAAUGUAAUUAGUCAUAAAAAUAUGAGAGGAGGGAUAUGGGAUACAGAAUUAGGUUAAACUUCAACUUGAGUUUAGCAAUCCUAUGUAGAUCUGAGUGACGUAUAGAUGUCACUCAGAGCUUCUUAUGGUCUGUAUUUGUUUUAUUCACAGAAGCAUCUAGACAGACCAAUAUCUUGUUAGCCUUUUUUAAUUCAUCCUGUGAUUUGGAAUACCAGUCAGGCUUUCAUCUUUCAUUCUUGGAGACGUUCUUUUUCUUAAAGAUAGCAACAGAAGAUUCUGUGGAGCCAGUUAUUUAAGUGUGGGUACGAAGCUUCAGUAGCUUUCGCUUUGCUUGGCUAAACAAGCUAACAAUCUACACAAGGCCUCGGCAGCAUCUGGUUUUGAGAACAAAAUCUGAAACUUCCCAGCUAGGCUAAUGCCAUGUUAUAUGAAGUUCUUAACUCAUUGAUAUUCCGAAAUUGAGGAAGGAACCUCAUCUCUGUGUCUUUUUAAUGUCCGUAUUUUAAGAAGGAAUGGUUUUGAUACGGAUUUUUUUUUAUCCUGUAGGCUCAGUGAGUUUCAGAAAUACUCUUGUAGGAGUAUAAGUUGUCAAGAAAGUCUUGCGGUAUCAAUUUCAUUGGGCAGCACCUGCACAUCACAUCAACCUGCAGAUCUGUGGUCUUAGGAUAAACUGGAUUAGGUACUUAUCCAAGGUUUUUAUAUUUUUUCGUUCUGAUAGUUUACUUCUAUCUUGGAUUAAUUUUCAUCUCUUGUUAGUUCUUAGACAACCUUUAUGGCAGGGGUGGAAAGCUAGGGGAGAAAACUGCAGGAAUGCUGUCUGUGCUGCUUAGAAAAGAGAAGUGACCAUCAAGUUACUGCCUAAGUAUUCAUUGUAGAUGUAAGCAAAACUUUGCUGACAAUUCUCUUAAAAUGUAUUUCUGCACUUAGGAAAUUAUGGGAGCUUUGCAAUUUCAAUAGAAUCAGGCUUCCUAUAAAAAUGAGUGGGUGACAGUGGUCAGAAGACCACUGAGGUUUCUCUUUCAGGAUGCAGCCUUUUCUCCUGUCAGUUUUCAGUCACAUCUUGCUUAGUUUUACACCAGCAGAGUAAGAAAAUAAGGCAUCCCUGUAGGUUUAGAAAUUGAUGACGUUGAAUAUUAAUUGGUCUUUUGCUAGAAAUAAGUCUAGUGAGUAUUCUAUGCAGUUGUAAUAUUGUUCCUCAAAUUACAGAAAUAAACAAUUCUUAUUAUUCUUAAAUUCAGAUUGCUCCACAGUAAAGUAAUUCUGGCAAAUACGCUUUUUCCAAGGUAGGGAUGUCCAAAUCUGAGAGUCCCUUAAAUUAAUUUAAUUGUAAGUGCAGCAUUGUGGAUGGGGAAGCUUUGUUGAUGAGCUGUGGGCGUGAGGGAGUUUGGAAUAAAAUAGACAUUAAGGGUGGCAGUUAAAAUGCAAUAAGACUUUAUGCUGUCAGUUCUGUAACUGUAGGAGGAGACUGUUCUAAAUCAAAUAAGCAGUUUGUGUGCGUAAUUAUCAGUAAUCUAAUGCCAUUUCAGACAGACUUCUUUAAUUGUUUAUUUUUCAAGGAGAACAAAAUACGAAGUUUAUAUUAAAAAGUUAAUGGGCAGAGGAGGUUUCUUUGUGUGACACUGUUCUCACAAAACAAUCCCUUAGUUUAGCAUCAGGAGUGGUUUAGUUAUCUGCUUUAAAUGAAAGGAUUCAUUUUGUUUUAGUGGUAAUGCCAAGCUUCCUUUCCAUUUCAUUUUGUAUUAAGUACCACUGUUUAAGGGCAGAUAGUCCAGGAAUUCUUAGAAAAUUGGGUUCAUUUUUCUGUAUCUGUCUCCAUCCAUUCUUCUUCUUAACCUCAUAGCGGUAUUAAUUACUUUCAUAAAACAAAAUCAUGGAUGUUAUGAUUAGGGAGUGUGGUUUAUCAAGCCCAGCUUCCUGCUUCACACAGGUGUAAGAAAUCUGGCCAACAUGAGGCCUGCCCACCAUCUUUGUGGGGAUGAGUCUUGAACGCUUACAAGAAUGGACCCCAAAGGUGGGGCUUUUUAAUAUUUGUCUUUGGAUCUAAAAAAAAAAAAAUGGCCUAUUUUUCUGAGGAAAAAGAAGUAUUUGUAUUUUAAUUUUGAUCGUUAUAGUGAUGAGAAGUUAUUGAUACUGAGGAGCUGUGUAGCGGUAAGCCUGGUAUCUCUUAGUAGCAGCGCUAGCAGUAGGCAGGCAGUUGCUUUGCAGGGUAUUAGCCUGUGUUGGUCUUCAAGGAUGUCCUCCCGGUAGACUGUCAGUCUAUACUACGUGUGCUGAAUCUGUUUUAUAAAGGAAUUAAUCCCUCUGUUUCAGGGAUGCAAAUACUAGCAGCUUUCAAAGGCAUUCCUUGUACUGAAAGGAUGGCAAAAAAGGGCAGGUAUUUCAAAAAUAAUGGUACAGCCAGCUUAUAUCUGCAGUGAAACCUGCUUUAUAGCUACAUAUUUCAAAUGCAACUAUUGACAUAUUCUGAUCGGUACAGUUAAUAGUGGGAUUUUUCAGCAUAAAUAAUGAGAUCAAACUAAGCUUCUUUCUUACCACUUUUAUAUUUAAGUCUUUCCUUUGAAGAUAUAGUUUGAACAGGAGGUGAAGGAAUGAGGUUUGGUGUAUUUGUGUUUGAAGAAAUGCAAUUUUGUUAAUCUGUUGUUUGUUAGGAUUGUAAAGGGGGGAAAAAAAUUGAAAGCUUGCCUGGCAACCUGAUCUAGUAGGUUGUUUUUUGAUACUACAGAUGAAAUUAAAAGCAUCCAUCAUAGUGUUGUGGACAAGAAAAAUAAAAUAUUCCUUGGAGUUGUCAUUGCAGUCUGAUGUUCAUCUAUUAAUAACGGAGUGAACAGCAAAUAAUCUGAAAUAGUUGAUAUUAAUGAAACUGAGAUGAAGAAUGCAGCUGUACUUCUGUGUAAAAAAUAAAUAAAUUGAUAUUAAGAUGUACACAAAUAUAUUUUUCCUGUGUUACUCAACUCUGAUUUUGUUACCGUUUGCCAGCUAGGACUGCAAGAUAAGUCCUAAAAGGCUUGUAUCCAGUAGCUACACAACAAACACUGGUAGUAACAAUGCAAGCCUCCUGUGCACACACCAGAUGUUCUUUCUUUCUUUAAAUUCAUAUCCAGGAUAGUUACUCUAAGGGUGUAAAAAGAAGCUGGGUGUUCCUUCUCUGAAAUUGGUUAUCUCCUGCCUUUGACAGCACUUAAUUCUGUGUUUUAAAACGGAGGUGAUCAAAUAUGGGUGAUCUCUAUUGCAUUCCAGAAAACUGUCUUUCUGAAUCUGUAGUGAAUGCAAGCUGGAUGACAGAGGCCUACUGUGAUUUUUCUGCACUACUGCUUGAAAUCUGUAGCGAAUUUUUAAGUCUGUUUGCUUUGGUACAGUGGUAGUAUAUUGAAGCUGAAAGGUAGGAAGUGUGGUGCUUCUGAUCCCAGGCAGGGAAGACUCUUGAUCCAUAGUGAAGGCUGGUUUUGCUUGGCUGGAAACAGCGUCCAGUUGUGUGAAGCCUUGGAAAGAAGGGAUGGAUUCCCAAUGUGCUGCUAGAUUUCAAACAGAAAAACCCAAGCAGAGUUGCUUAUCCAUCUUAUAUUUGCCUUGUGUGUUUUUUUUUUUCCAUGACCUGGCCAGGUUAAACAAAACUGUAAUCCCCUUAGGUAUCGUGUCAGUAUUGACUAUGGGAAUGGAUGGUAGGACACUCGGAUGUCUGUACUUCCUCCUUUUGACUGCAGGAUAAACAAAGGUGUUUUUUUUAACUUACAGUGAGUACACCUGCUGAAAUGCAGGGUUUUUCCUCCACACUACUGCUCUGUGACAAGAGCGUUUUUAUAAUUGUAUUUUCUCAGUCAGAAGAGCAGUAGGAGGAAUAAUUCAUUUAAAUAUACCAAAUCAUAUUUAAUUUGUUGCUUAGCAGCUGAAGCAAAUUAUGGAAAUCUCAGAGAUGGAUCAAAUACUGCUGUGGUAAAGGGAUUUCGGAUCAGUUAGCAUACUAACUGCUGUUGCUCUUGAAACUGUUGUUGCUUAAUAUUACGCUAAAGUUUGCACUGAGGGGUGUCUUCUCCCAGCGACUCGUGGUCUCAUUAGCCAAAAUCUUUUUAAUGAAACCUGGAAUGGCAGCAGGAGAGAAAUAAGAGUUAAAAUAAGCAACAACAACUAAAGGGAACAAGGAAAGAAAAGAUGGGGGAAAUAAAAAAUAACAAGUGUGCCUUCUGUAGUCUCUUCAGAUGAGCGCUUGAUUGGGUACAUGGAUGAGAAAACGUAACAUAUAUCCCUAGCCUGGAUGUUUAGGAAUUCUCUUGAAGCCAAUUGAAUUUACAGGUUAUUUCACUGUGGAAGUUCCAGUGUAUGGAAAAUCCACUAACUAGUCUUUGUUAUUUUGAAGGUAUGGCUGAUUCAAUUUCAUGCUGUGCAUAGGGGAAGCUAUGUUACAGCUGAAGUUUUUAUCAUUUGGCCUUAAUUUCACCAUAUGUAGUUGGAUACAAAAGGUAGUAAUAACCAUAACAAAGACAAACCGACUUUUAGCACAGGCAGUUCUUUCAGUGUUUUUGUCUCCAAUAUUUUGUGCAGGAAAGAAAUACUAAUGAGUGUUUACCGCUACGGGCAGUGGAAAAUAGUCUAUUUAAAUGUACCUCCAGAUCGAUUCAGCAGUAAGAUAUGUGCAGAACUACAGAAUAAAAAAGUAUGUGAAGACUUUAGCCUACAGCUAAGCAUUAGGGUGUUUGCAAAUACAACCCAACUGCUCAGGGUUUACUGAGGAGCAGACUGAGCUGUGCAGAGGAUGUUCAUACGUGACGUUAAUGCGAGACCAUCUGAGGGACUGCUAUAUCUGUAAACAAAUUCCAAAGCUUACGCAGUGAGCACGGUGUAGGCUGCAGAAUGUUUUUACAUUUUAUGGUCUCAAGCACGCUGCUGUCAUGAAUGAUUCUUCAUAAAAACUUAGAACCAUUUGGAAAGAACAGUGUUCUUGGUUGGGCAGUUGGUGUACACUGAUCUCUUUCCCUUUGUUACCCAGCUUGCAGCCCACAGUCAGUUUUCUUUCCUCGUCAGUAAGGAGAUAGGAGUUGAAGCUCUCACGUGAUGACUGCAAGGGUGAUUUUUGACUUUGGCUGCCUCCAACUCCUCAGGAUUUGUUUCUUUUUUUUUUUUUUUUCUUCUUUUAAUUUGUUUUGGUACAAGGAUAGCGCUCACUGCUUUUUUACUGUUUCUCUUUCCGCUUUAAAUGAGUAAUCAUUUCGUGUGGGCAGCAUCACUUUGGAGGGGGCUUUUGUACAUAGGUAACUGCUGCAGGGGGAUGCUGAAUAUUUAUGGAAGUUUUUUAAAUGAGCAGAAUAUUUCUUACCCUAAUAUAGAGAAGGAAAUAUAUACUUUCCAAAACAGGAUAUAGGAACUGUUAACGGUUUUUUAUCUCAGAUUCUAAUUUUAUAAAGAAAAAUGCAAACACAGUACAACCUGAUUGCUUCUUUUCUCUUUUAGCAUGAAACAUAUCUGCAGUUCAUUUGUCUUCCAAGAAUUCUGUUUAUGCAGCAUCUUUUUGUUUAAAGGUAUUUAUAUACUUCAAACCUUAAUUGGAUUUAGUAGCACAUGUGAGAAGCAUGGGAACUGUCUGUUUUCUUUCAUAUUAGAAAGCUUAAAGGGAUAGAGAAUCUUUGUGGAGUACUUAAAACUAACACUGUAAGACUCUUGGCAGAGGAGCCAAGUCCCCAGAUUCCUUAUACCCUAAUCUCAAAAUUAUUCCUUCUCAUUUUUUGGCAUCCAGAAUGGAAUUUCAAACUCUUAUUUUAGACAGUUGCAAAAAUGCAGGUUACAGAACAGCGCAGACUUAAACACCGUACUCGUCAGUGUGUUUUGACAGACUGAGGUUCUGUUGUUAUAGUCAACAUUUUCAAUGGCAAAACAAAGAGAAGAUUGAAAAAGAUGCUGGGAGCAUCACUGUAUUUCACUGAAGUUCUAAGGUAAUGUUACCAGUCAACAGUGGACAUCUAAUGGACAGUUUGUUUACUGAGUGAGGCCUCAAGGGAGGUAGUGUCCAACUAAGCAGUGAAAUCAUCCGAAACAAUCUCUUAGGUGAUAGUUUCUGGCUUGAAGUAUAAUAUAAGACAAACACCUGCAGAGGACAUCUGUCCUUCUCUAAACUUAUAAUCAGAUAGAAUUUUCUGCAUGCUGUCUGUCAUAUGAGCCAUAGGCUUAUAGGCUAGAGGCAUUUAGUUUACAGACACUUUCUUGUCAUGCGCUCACUUCCAGGAGGUGGUCUGUGUAUUUCUGACACGAUCAAUACUUGCUGCACAUGCACAGUACGGCAAAGUGCCAGUAUCAGAGUGUGUUGAUGCUGAGUGAGACGGGUGAGGUCUGCUUCCAUCUUCUUUCUCCCCUGCAGCUGUGUGGUCUCUGCUGUGGGAGUGGCUGUGUGUCUCACAGGGAGGGAACGACUGACAGGUGUCAGUGAGGAGCGGGCUGCAUUCACAAUGCACUAGGGUUCUUUGGCAGCCCCUUUCCCCCAGUGUGUUUGAAAGCUCCUAAAUAAAGUGUCGACUUCAUGCCAAACCAAUUGGGAUGAUUAGCUACAAGUGUAUCGUGAAGUAGUUUUAUUUUAUUUUAUUUUAUUUGCAUUUUUUUUUCCUGGUCAGUGUAGAGAAUGGAGAGGGGACAUUGAGCACCUGCAGAGAGAGAUGAACUGUACUCCCAAACCAAGGAACUUCCCAGAAGUCUCCCUACUCUGUCAGCUGCCUCCACCUGAGGAAAUGUUAAUUUAAGAGCCUUACCUUUACAUAUCUAACAAUGCCAUUGAGGUGUUUGGAGACCAUAGUGCUAGAGACUUUAAAGUCAGAACGUUUAAGUGGGUCUGGGGCCGACUGUGUGGGUUUCUAGGAAGAAGAAAAACUCUAUUAUGAUCGUCUCAAUGAAAUUUAUUGAAGUAGAGACAGCCCCAUUUUUUGCUGUGUUUUGGCCUAGUGCUGACUCUACACAUAAGCAGAGAAACUACUGAAGUGUUUUUACACAUCUGUCCCAAUCUCUGUAACAAUUUAUUGAAUGGUAAAUACCAGGGGAGGAAAAAUCUUGUGAUUCAUUGAAACAGUGUAUAAAACUGUCCCUAUGCUGCACUCAAGCAUGUGAUAAAUUACCUAUAAUGUCUAAUGAUGGUUAUAAUUUGUUUUAUUUAAUGGAAAUUAUAGAAAAUGUAGCAAAUGCUGCUCCAAAUGCCUCAGUGUUGGUUUGUAAUGUUUGUUUUCACUGUGAUUAAUACAGAGUUGGGUAUGUGUGCUCUAAACAUUCAUGACAAAGUAUUUGAUGAUAUGAACAAAAACCAGUUGGCAGAUAGAUGAGGUGGUGGUGCUGUUGUUGGGCUGUUGGGCAGGCUGGAGAAACAGGUUGACAGGAACCUCAUAAAUUUCCACAGAGGAAAAUUCAAAGUCCUGUACCUGGUGGGAAGAAUAACCCCAGGAACCAGCAUGUGCAGAGUCUUUACUGGCUGGAAAGCAGCUUGGUAGAAAAGGAACUGGGGUCCUGUCUGCGCAUGAGCGAGCAAUUCAUCUUUGCGGUAAAGAAAGCCAGAUUGGCAGAGAAUCUCCAGUAAGUCAAGGAAGUUAAUCCCCCCUCAAGCACUACAGCUGGAUCCACUUGUGGGCUCCGCACUGCAGAAGAGAAACAGGCAUCUUGGGGUAAGUCUAGUGAAAGGCCACAAAAACACUGAAGGCAUUGGCAUACCUGUAGUACAAGAAGAGUGUGAAAGAGCUGUGAUUGUCUAGUCUGGAAAAGAGAAGGCUAGGGCUAUCUUACCAAUGUGUGUAGAGGGGAGGAAAGAAGAUGGAGCCAGACUUCUCAAACAAUACUGCAUAAUCAAAUCUUUUCAUGCUAGCUGCUAACCAGCUUUCGUUUUAACUACUGUCACAUUAACUGUUAGAUAAUGGUAUGUUUUCUUGGCUUUUCAUGCCUAGACUAGGAACAGGGCUUGUUUGUUUAGCUUUAAUGUUGAUUAUCAAAUGGAAGACUGUCCUCAUUCUUCUCUCUCUGUUUUCCUUGAAACGAAUGGGAGGUGGGGAAGGAAGGAGGAAUGAGGCUGUACUGAAAACUGUGUUGUUGUAUGUCAUCUUGUGAGUGCUUUUGGGUUUUGUGCAUCUCAGGAGAGAUGUUUUCUGAAGUUGACGUUACUCCAUGCAGCCAAUGAAAUUAGGAUCACUUUGAGUGAUCUAGUUGCCUAGCUGUGCACAUACUUGCAUGUAAGUCUACGUUUACUUGUUCUUCUGUAAUAAAUAUAUUGCAUGAGUAUACAUUCUGAGGUAAAAGACUUAAAAAUGUGUUUUUCCUGUAUACAGCUAAUUAUAGCUAGCUGCCUAGUUUCAGACAAUAGUUUGCUCUCAGUGGCUUGACUGGGAACUUGAAAAGCAGGAUUUCUAUGUGUUAGCAGCUGUUACUCUGAAAAUAGUAAAUAGUUCUAUCUGUCCAUUUCUUGGCAGUAGUUGUUGAAAUCUAUGUGAAAUACUAGAAAUUUUUUAGAAUUUCUGUCAGGUUGUAUAAGUCUUAUUUUUUUAUUAUAAUUAUUCACAAAGACUUUACUAGUUGCUUAUCUUUAUAAUAUCCUUUUUGUUUGUGGAAAGAAGGUGUCAUAAAUUAUGAUCAGUACAAUAAGAGAUGAACACUUAAAUAUGGAAAUGACUUCUUGUAAGUAGAACUUUAGACAGCUUACACUGUGCACGACCUUUCUUAAAGUUGUGAUUCUAGUUUAAACAGAUAUGGGCAUGGGAAUUUGAGUGGUUUAAAAGUUGAUAUCUAUGUAUUUAUAUACAGAUAAAGUGUUGCUAGUAGGAAAGCAACUGAUGCCUUUAAAUAAAUAAUCUCCCUUUCUUUUCCACGUUUUAAUGAGUCCUCAUUUUGGCUGCAGAAGCUCUGAGGUCACAGACCUAAGCUUCCUUUUUUAUUCCUCUGCCUCUCUCCAUGAGGUAAUGCAUUCUCUUCACUCAGCAACGUGAAGCUUUGUGGCAACUGGCAGAAGGGGCAGUCAGAGAUCCAAUGUGCCAAACUGAAUUGAAAUGCAAAGGAGAGACAGUUUAUUGAACUAAAUAAAUGAAAUGUAAAGGAGGGAAUGCAUGAGGAUAUAAGGUGAAGACAGAAAUUGGUGUAAGGAUAUGGACAAUGGAAAUCAAGAUAAUCUGAUCUCAAAGCAGAUUUGUCAUUUUCAGCUGGUGGAUAUAAAAAAAAGAAAACAUCAGGGGAAAGAAAUCCUCUUCCCUCCUCAUUGUUGCUACAAAAAAAUCACUGAUGCAUCUCAUUCUUCUUAUAGGUUAUGUAGUUCCUUAGAAAUGCAAAAAGUCUCCCCAGACCAGUUUUUAAAAACAAUUGUAAGUACAGUUUCUUCUUUUCAUCUCCUUUUGAUAAUAUCCAAUAAAAUACUUAAAUACGAGUUUAAUGGCUUUUAGGACAUAAAGUAAGAAAGCUUGUCAAUUGCAUGUUAAAGCAUACUUUAUGCUCUAGUAAAAAUUGUUUCAUUUUCAACUUCAUUGCAGUAACUGAAGAGUCAGGAAACUAAAUUAACUUUUUAAAGUCAAUAUUUCUUGAGUUAUUUUGAAAAUCAGCAAAUUAGUUGCAUAGCUGAAGAUCUAAAGUGGGCAAAAUUGCAUGCACAAGGAAACUGUUGUUUUGGAUUGCAUAAAGCACUUCAGUGGUAUUUACAUGCAGUAGUAGAACUGGGAGGAAAGAGUGUGAGUUAUGUGCUUGAGCACAACAAAAUGUGAAUAGUUGUUUGUAACUUAUAUGCAGGUAUGUUUUAGUUUAGGUUUUUUUUUUUUUUUAAGAGCAUGGAUAUGGAAGUUAUGAAUUUUAACUGUGCCUCUCUACUGGCAAGGCUUGCUGUUUUUAAGGGAGAAUAACCUGAUAUGAGAAAGCAUAGACCAAACACAAUAGUUCUGAUUCUGAUUUUUGUACUUGCAACUAGUGGAAACAACUCAUGAAAUACCAUGAUGUUCAGCAUCAUGUUUGUUAUUCAAUAUGUUUGUUACUCAAUUCUAGUUGAAUAGGUGGAUUCAUAGUUGCCUGAAAAUCUUUGGGGGGGAGACAAUGAUUGGAAAAACAAAGUUUUUGUCUUUAUUUACAGAAGGAUGGAUUUAGCGUGGUGAGCUUUUUUGUAUUUUUUUCUUAUUUUUCAAGUCUGAUCUUGAAGACUGUUAAAAUAAAACUGUGAGGGGGAGAUAAGCCAGGAACUUAUGUACAGGAGUAAGAAAAUAACCUCGUUCCCCAUAAGAGGUACCCAUAUUUCAGUUUUGACCACUUGUGGAAACCAUGACAUGCUUCCAUUUGAUCACUCUUCUGGUGCUUUAAUAAUCUUAUAUACGGAAAUGUUUAGACUUACUAAGCAGUAAUGGAGUAGAGAAGUGAGGAUAGUCCCGGAAGGGAAAUAAAGAAUAAUAAAAAGAUUUUUCUCCUGACCCCCUCAGGUGCAUAGCAUUUUAGUGAAAACAGUAGAUUUCAGACAUUUGGUAGAUGAAGAUGAAUGAGCAGUUGUUUAUGGUGUAGAUGAGGGUACAGUGUAACAAAGCUAUGACAAGGAGUUUUCAUGCAAUUUGUGACAUUUAGUACUGGAUGCGUACACUGGCAGAAUGAUUCAAUUAGGAAGAAGAUAGGUAUUCCCUAAAUCAGAAGUUAUACCACUUCUGCGUUUCCUGCUCUCUAUCUAAGUUGCUAAGUCAUACAAGGGAGAGUGUGGUUUUGCUUACAGUUUUCUUAGAAGCUGUCUUUAGAAAUCCGUAGGUAGCCACUCUGAAACUCAAUCCUGAGCUGGCUGUCGUGAGUUGGUCUGACAGCUCUUCUGGAAAAGGCUUAUAAAAAAAGAAAGGCUUUAAAUUAAUGGAAAGGGAGCUUCUGCAUGAUUAGUGCCUAUUAAAAUACAUAUGUAAGAGGAGUAAGAUAUUUAUCAGAAAAACCAACUUUGUCUGGAGGUGUGUCAUAGUUGUGAUUAAAGCGCAGUAAAAAUGCAACCUGCUUUGCCUGCAGAUAAAAAGUAAGAAAAGAGCUACCUACUACCUAAAUCUGUUGGAGGAAUUCUGGAUAACUGAAAAUAGUAUUUUUCCCCCCUUUCUAACCAAAACAAAAACCCAUUGUUGUCAAUACCUGGUAUGUACAAAAUAAAGAUUCUGCUCAUCUUGACCACAAUAUUAUUUUUUAAUUUCUUCUGUCUUGAAUAUAUUUAUCUGUUUUGCUUUUGGCCUCGUUCCUAGGAAUUAUUUUGACAGAGUGGAACUGCAAAAGCAUUCCUUUAAGUCUGUUUUUAGGAUUGAAACUUCCACAGCCUUUUGGGGUGGAGACUCUGUGAUCUGUUAUUUCUAAACUAGAGGCUUCCUUUCAGUCAUUGCAGUAGAGCAUGAGUUUCUGUUUUUUAAGAGGACAAUUGAGAUCUCGUGUGCUUCUUUUUUGCCCAAGGCGGUUGUGGAUGCCCCAUCCCUGGAGGCAUUCAAGGCCAGGCUGGAUGUGGCUCUGGGCAGCCUGGUCUGGUGGUUGGCGACCCUGCACAUAGCAGGGGGUUGAAACUCUAUGAUCAUUGUGGUCCUUUUUAACCCAGGCUAUUCUAUGAUUCUAUGAAUCUGCGUAUGCUAUAUGCAUUUUUUUCAUGCAGGAUGUAAAAUAAAGAAGGGAGAGCAAUGUUAUCACAAAAUACUGCUUUGCUUAAAUUAUGCAAGAAAAAGAACACUAGCCAUUAACUACUUUUAUUCUAUUUAGUGAUUAUUUUUUUUAACUCUUGUAAUUCAUAACUGUGUUAAUUAAAAAGAGAUAAGUAAAAAUAGACAUAUGAAAGAAACUGAAAUAGGGUUUUUUUUCUGUUCAUGUUUGGAUCUCUCUGUAAAGACUUACCUUCUUUGCUGUUUAUUCAGCAGCGUCAUUGAAGUAGUAAUCAAGAAAGGGCUUAACUUUGGCAUCAAUAUUUAAUUGCUUCUGUAGAACAUUGCUCACGUAUCACUUGCUGCAUUACUUUCACAGCAACAGAACUGUUCAUUUAUUUUCUCUUGGGGUGCUGUGAUGAUGAGCCUGCAGCUCAGGGUUCUUCGUGUGCUCGCUGCUCCUCAGGGCUGCACACUUCGAGGACUGCAGAGCUCAGCUGGUGGGGCCUGCUCAGUCUGCCGCGCCUCGUGCUGUUCCCACACAAUGCACCAGGCAUAUAAAGGCUCACUUCCACUGUCAGCACCUUCUCAAUGCCUCUGUCAGAGGCUGUAUUCAUAUUUGCACUUUUUAGCUUUUAUGUAGCAGCUAGCUUUUUAGUAUGUAGGUAUUUUUGUACAAGAAAGAUUUGGGAUAUUCCUGGAAACUAAAAAUAUGUUUGUUUAAAUUACCCUACCGUGUUCAUAUCUCCUUUUUUAGGUUUUAGAUAUAUAUUUUUAAAAUCCCUCAAAAGCAUGAAAUAUUUGUUAUCUUCUGAAGAAAAUUAAGGAAGUAGCACACUGUUGCAAUGUUGUGAAUUAUGUCUAAUCAGAUCAUGGAAGCAGAGGGGACUUUCUUAGGUGGGCUUUCGGUAUCCUUCCUAGGUCCCUCAGAUACAAGCUUGACCUUCAGUGAGAGAAUAGGCUCCUAGGAAAAAUGGCAGGGAGAAAUCUAAGUGGUGAGCAAGAGGAAAGAACUCCUAUUACAAUCUUCUCUGACUCUCAUAAUUCCCUAUUGCAUUCUACAUCAGCAAAAUUUCAACUUUAUCGCCACUAACCCUAACCUUAUUGAUUCAUAUCUCCAAAAUAUGACUUCAUUUCAACCAAGCAAAGAUUCUCAUGACUAAAUAUAUGUGGUAGGGAAGAUAUAUUUUGUGGUGCAACAUGAAGCGCUAGCUUCAGAGGUGGUGAAACCUCUAAGCAGAGUCAGAUGAUCCCAUUGAGGGCAUGAGGCCAUACAGCGCCUUGUGGGCGACUUGUCAUCAAAAAGAGCAGUCUCUUCUACAGUGGGAAAGGAGGCUGAGUGGCGCUGAUACUAAGUAUAUCUGAUUGGUGGAUGUCAUAGAAUCAUAGAAUGGCUUGGGUUGGAGGGGAUCUUAAAGAUCAUCUAGUUCCGGCCCCCUGUCGUUGGUCAUUCAGAGUUGUACACAUCAGAUCACUGAAAAAUUUCAAUUUUUAGUGAUCUGUUUUUCACAAAGAAAAGAUUUAGUGUACAAUCUUAAAUAUCAGCACUAAUAAGAUGAGAUGAUACGUAACUUGCCCACUGGGAAACCCCUUCCAGUCAGUGCUGUGGGUGCAGAAAAUUGCAAGUGAUUGCAGAUCUGGUGAAGGCUUUUGAUUAAUUAAACAUGUAGAUUUGAAGAGGUGUGCAGGGGUAGGGUUUCUCAAUCAUGGAUGGCUUUGCACUACUAAUUUACCGAGGAGACUUUUGUACUUGAAGAGGCAUCCUUAGCUCAUCUGAAUUUAUUGCCAGGAGCAGCACAGGUGGAAGGGAAAACUCCUCUUUUUCCUUACCUUGGUUAGGUAUGAUUGAUAAGUGGUGUAUAGACAAGGAGGGUGAUUCCUGCUAGUAAUACAACAUUGCAUAAUGAAUGGGUCAUAUCUGCCUUUCGGAUGGAAUAGGAAACUACUUUGACUUUGACUGCAUAAUAAACAGAAUGUGUUACUGGACUUUGCUUGGCCUGAAUAAGGAAGUAGUCUAUCAGUAAAUAUAUAUAUUUUUAACUGUGAUUUUUUUGUUUUAUUUUUCCCUGAGGGGAAAGAAAGAGUAGUUUUUUUAAAAAACCUGUCAUUUCCC
RNAcentral lists this long non-coding RNA (27989 nucleotides) under Gallus gallus (chicken). Lineage: Eukaryota; Metazoa; Chordata; Aves; Galliformes; Phasianidae. The record is from RNAcentral.